CGCCGGGCGCGGACCGCGCACGCGUAGAGUUUCGGAACGCUGUAUGCCGCGGUCUUCCCGCGUGGGGACUGGACUUCCGAAUUCGCUCACCCUCAGCUGCCUCCCCUGUAGUUCAUUGUUCUCCCCUAACUGCCCGUAUGUUGGAGAUGCAUUUCGGGUGAAAAUUGCACCCCGUGUAAGUGGACUGUCACUCUCCUUGUGGUUGCUCCCUGAACGAUCGGAUUCAGCUCUGAGCAAAUUGUGGGUCCCACGUGCUUGACCAGGAUAAGUACAAAGUUUGCAGGCUAGUUGGAGACUCCAAACCUGCCCUGGUGAGGCAUAGCCCUUCUGGCUUGGAAUCUGCAGGGAAGUGAUGACUUCUCUUUUUGGACCCAACUAGUGGCCACUCCCCGUCACAGCUGUAGUGUGGGAGAGCAGGGUUACGUGUUGAGCUUGUUCUCCAUGGUUUGCACAGUUCCUGAUUUUGACAUUCUGUACUUCAUAAGUAUCCAGGGCCUUGUAACUACCUUGCUUAAUGUACAGCUUUGACCAGGCAACUGUAAGCUCCACCAGGGCAGGAGCCAUGUGUAUUUUGUUCCAUGCAGUGUUCCCUAGUGCCUGUUAAAUGCAUGAACUCUUAGGUUUUUUAGUAUUACAAGAAAUGACUGACAUUGAAAUUCAUC
Long non-coding RNA from Sciurus carolinensis (gray squirrel), 662 nucleotides. RefSeq lists it as uncharacterized. Lineage: Eukaryota; Metazoa; Chordata; Mammalia; Rodentia; Sciuridae. The record is from RefSeq and is a predicted model, not a curated record. The transcript is spliced from 3 exons.